CGCCUUAUUAGUCUAGGGCCCCCCUCCCUUUAGAUGCUUUAACAUGACCCUAAAAAAGUCUUUCUUUCCCAUUACUUCUUCAGCCGAUGAAAGGACAUGACCAUCUUCAAGCUUUAACUGCUCAUCCUUCAACAGUCGGUCAAAGAUCUCAUACGUUUUCGUAAUGUCGAAUGAGUACUCCUUUCCAACCUCGGCCAUGCUUUUGCUCUUAUCGAUGUGAUCCUUGUCUUUAGCUUGGCACCAGGGCGGCUUGCUUACCUACCUUAUGACUUUCCGACUUUCUUUUACUAUUCCUAUUCCCUGCUCUGCUUAAUGUACGAGGAGGAAUAGAGAUCGACAAGCAAGAGUCAAGCCUCUUUCCUGAUUAGCGAAUAGUGCCUCACUUUCUUUCUAAGCUGGCAUCAGUCUCAGACAAGAAAGAAGAAAAAGAGAAUCCUAUUUCCGACAUUCAAGAGUAGUAAAGCAUCGAAGCAAAUAGCGUACGUAAAAGGAUACCUAUCGAAGCUCCCUUCUAGGGGAAUGUUUUGCUCUUAUGCCUCAUGGCGACUCGGAACGAGGAGAGUUCCCUCUUUCCCGGAUGCGGAUGCCGUAGAUCACUGAACUAUGCGCUUGCCUUUACUACCUACCCUUACCUGUCUGCCUUGAACUCAAGCACCUGCGCUUCUAUCCAGAAGAUAGCUGGAACUGGCAUUGUGACUACAGAUAUAUAGCCAAUAGAAGGAAGUAUUCCCAAGCUGGAGAAGUGGGAGAGGAGAUAAAUUUCAGUGGAUCCCCUAUCUCCUUCAGCUCGAUCAAUAGAGAUAGAUGCCCCUCUUUCGAGCUACUUCGUUCGUUCCUCUUUCCUUAGGCGGG
Non-coding RNA from Lupinus albus (white lupine), 852 nucleotides. Lineage: Eukaryota; Viridiplantae; Streptophyta; Magnoliopsida; Fabales; Fabaceae. The record is from the annotation of a GenBank genome assembly.